Molecule: ribosomal RNA, 460 nt
Filed under: uncultured bacterium
Lineage: Bacteria
Description: partial 16S ribosomal RNA
Rfam family: Bacterial small subunit ribosomal RNA
Source: RNAcentral
CCUACGGGAGGCUGCAGUGAGGAAUAUUGGUCAAUGGGCGCAAGCCUGAACCAGCCAAGUCGCGUGAAGGAUGACGGCCCUACGGUUUGUAAACUUCUUUUAUAAAGGAAUAAAGUGAGGCACGUGUGCCUUUUUGUAUGUACUUUAUGAAUAAGGAUCGGCUAACUCCGUGCCAGCAGCCGCGGUAAUACGGAGGAUCCGAGCGUUAUCCGGAUUUAUUGGGUUUAAAGGGUGCGUAGGUGGUUUGUUAAGUCAGUGGUGAAAGUUUGCGGCUCAACCGUAAAAUUGCAGUUGAUACUGGCAGUCUUGAGUACAGUUGAGGUAGGCGGAAUUCGUGGUGUAGCGGUGAAAUGCUUAGAUAUCACGAAGAACUCCGAUUGCGAAGGCAGCCUACUAAACUGUGACUGACGUUGAUGCUCGAAAGUGUGGGUAUCAAACAGGAUUAGAUACCCUAGUAGUC